UGGGGAAUCUUGCGCAAUGGGCGAAAGCCUGACGCAGCCAUGCCGCGUGAAUGAUGAAGGUCUUAGGAUUGUAAAAUUCUUUCAGUAGGGACGAUAAUGACGGUACCUACAGAAGAAGCCCCGGCUAACUUCGUGCCAGCAGCCGCGGUAAUACGAAGGGGGCUAGCGUUGCUCGGAAUUACUGGGCGUAAAGGGAGCGUAGGCGGACAUUUAAGUCAGGGGUGAAAUCCCAGAGCUCAACUCUGGAACUGCCUUUGAUACUGGGUGUCUUGAGUGUGAUAGAGGUAUGUGGAACUCCGAGUGUAGAGGUGAAAUUCGUAGAUAUUCGGAAGAACACCAGUGGCGAAGGCGACAUACUGGAUCAUUACUGACGCUGAGGCUCGAAAGCGUGGGGAGCAAACAG
RNAcentral lists this ribosomal RNA (403 nucleotides) under uncultured bacterium. RNAcentral describes it as "bacterial SSU rRNA". It matches the Rfam family "Bacterial small subunit ribosomal RNA", at positions 355 to 775 of the family's 1533-position model. The record is from RNAcentral.